Molecule: unclassified non-coding RNA, 174 nt
Filed under: soil metagenome
Description: partial internal transcribed spacer 1
Source: RNAcentral
CCGAGUUUACAACUCCCAAACCCAUGUGAACAUUACCACUGUUGCCUCGGCGGAUCUUCUGCCCGGUCCGGUCCAACCCGGACCAGGCCCGCCAGAGGACCACUCAAACUCUUGUAUACCCUCCGGUUUUAUAUCUGUACCAUCUCCCUCGCGUAAACCAUUCGAAAUAAAUCA